GCUCCCGUCGUUCAACGGAUAGGACGCGACCUUGCGGAGGUUGUAAUGUCAGUUCGAUUCUGGCCGGGAGCACCA
Molecule: transfer RNA, 75 nt
Filed under: Candidatus Zambryskiibacteriota bacterium
Lineage: Bacteria; Candidatus Zambryskiibacteriota
Description: Candidatus Zambryskibacteria bacterium tRNA-Arg
Rfam family: tRNA
About the family: Transfer RNA (tRNA) molecules are approximately 80 nucleotides in length. Their secondary structure includes four short double-helical elements and three loops (D, anti-codon, and T loops).
Source: RNAcentral